RNAcentral lists this transfer RNA (74 nucleotides) under Treponema sp. RNAcentral describes it as "tRNA-Arg". It matches the Rfam family "tRNA". Rfam says of the family: Transfer RNA (tRNA) molecules are approximately 80 nucleotides in length. Their secondary structure includes four short double-helical elements and three loops (D, anti-codon, and T loops). Lineage: Bacteria; Pseudomonadati; Spirochaetota; Spirochaetia; Treponematales; Treponemataceae. The record is from RNAcentral. RNAcentral also lists the same sequence under 2 other names.
GACCCAGUAGCUCAGCUGGAUAGAGCGGCUGCCUCCUAAGCAGCAGGUCGACGGUUCGACUCCGCCCUGGGCCA